GACGAACGUUGGCGGCGUGCUUAAUACAUGCAAGUCAACUGAAGCACCGGUAGUAAUACUGGUGUGGAGGUGGCGCACGGGUGAGUAACACGUAGGUAAUCUGCCUUCAGGUCUGACAUAACCCCGAGAAAUCGGGGCUAAUAGCAGAUGAUGCAGCGGCUUGACAUCAAAGACAGUUGUUAAAGCUUCGGCGCCUGAAGAUGAGCCUGCGUCUGAUUAGCUAGUUGGCGGAGUAAUAGCCCACCAAGGCGACGAUCAGUAGCUGGUCUGAGAGGAUGAUCAGCCACACUGGAACUGAGACACGGUCCAGACUCCUACGGGAGGCAGCAGUAAGGAAUAUUGCUCAAUGGGAGAAAUCCUGAAGCAGCAACGCCGCGUGAGGGAUGAAGGGCUUCUGCUCGUAAACCUCUGUAGUGAGGGAAAAAUUUCCAUUCUAUGGAAUAUGAUGGUA
RNAcentral lists this ribosomal RNA (451 nucleotides) under uncultured bacterium. RNAcentral describes it as "bacterial SSU rRNA". It matches the Rfam family "Bacterial small subunit ribosomal RNA", at positions 28 to 477 of the family's 1533-position model. The record is from RNAcentral.